CUACGGGAGGCUGCAGUGGGGAAUCUUAGACAAUGGGCGCAAGCCUGAUCUAGCCAUGCCGCGUGUGUGAUGAAGGUCUUAGGAUCGUAAAGCACUUUCGCCAGGGAUGAUAAUGACAGUACCUGGUAAAGAAACCCCGGCUAACUCCGUGCCAGCAGCCGCGGUGAUACGGAGGGGGUUAGCGUUGUUCGGAAUUACUGGGCGUAAAGCGUACGUAGGCGGAUUGGAAAGUUGGGGGUGAAAUCCCAGGGCUCAACCCUGGAACUGCCUCCAAAACUAUCAGUCUAGAGUUCGAGAGAGGUGAGUGGAAUUCCAAGUGUAGAGGUGAAAUUCGUAGAUAUUUGGAGGAACACCAGUGGCGAAGGCGGCUCACUGGCUCGAUACUGACGCUGAGGUACGAAAGUGUGGGGAGCAAACAGGAUUAGAUACCCUCGUAGUC
RNAcentral lists this ribosomal RNA (439 nucleotides) under uncultured bacterium. RNAcentral describes it as "partial 16S ribosomal RNA". It matches the Rfam family "Bacterial small subunit ribosomal RNA", at positions 339 to 795 of the family's 1533-position model. The record is from RNAcentral.